UACAGAGGUCCCAAGCGUUGUUCGGAAUUACUGGGCGUAAAGGGCGCGUAGGCGGUAGUGCAAGUCGCAGGUCAAAUGCCACGGCUUAACCGUGGAAAGCUUGCGGGACUGCACUGCUAGAGGGCUGUAGGGGGGGUUGGAAUUCUCGGUGUAGCAGUGAAAUGCGUAGAUAUCGAGAGGAACAUCAGUGGCGAAGGCGAACCCCUAAGCAGAUCCAGACGCUGAGGCGCGAAAGCCAAGGUAGCAAACGGG
Molecule: unclassified non-coding RNA, 252 nt
Filed under: uncultured bacterium
Lineage: Bacteria
Description: contains 16S-23S intergenic spacer region
Rfam family: Bacterial small subunit ribosomal RNA
Source: RNAcentral